Long non-coding RNA from Acanthochromis polyacanthus (spiny chromis), 1136 nucleotides. RefSeq lists it as uncharacterized. The record is from RefSeq and is a predicted model, not a curated record. The transcript is spliced from 8 exons. NCBI's taxonomy places the organism in Eukaryota, Metazoa, Chordata, Actinopteri, Pomacentridae.
UCUGGAAUAAGAACAGGCUCACCAAACAUCUGGAAUAAGAACAGGCUCACCAAACAUCUGGAAUAAGAGCAGCUUUAUGAAACAUCUGGAAUAAGAGCAGGCUCACCAAACAUCUGGAAUAAGAACAGCUUUAUGAAACAUCUGGAAUAAGAACAGGCGCACCAAACAUCUGGAAUAAGAGCAGCUUUAUGAAACAUCUGGAAUAAGAGCAGGCCCACCAAACAUCUGGAAUAAGAAAGGGCUCACCAAACAUCUGGAAUAAGAACAGCUUUAUGAAACAUCUGGAAUAAGAGCAGGUUCACCAAACAUCUGGAAUAAGAGCAGGCCCACCAAACAUCUGGAAUAAGAGCAGGCUCACCAAACAUCUGGAAUAAGAACAGGCCCACCAAACAUCUGGAAUAAGAACAGCUUUAUGAAACAUCUGGAAUAAGAACAGGCUCACCAAACAUCUGGAAUAAGAACAGCUUUAUGAAACAUCUGGAAUAAGAGCAGGCCCACCAAACAUCUGGAAUAAGAGCAGGCUCACCAAACAUCUGGAAUAAGAACAGCUUUAUGAAACAUCUGGAAUAAGAGCAGGCCCACCAAACAUCUGGAAUAAGAACAGGCGCACCAAACAUCUGGAAUAAGAGCAGGCCCACCAAACAUCUGGAAUAAGAACAGGCCCACCAAACAUCUGGAAUAAGAACAGGCCCACCAAACAUCUGGAAUAAGAACAGGCCCACCAAACAUCUGGAAUAAGAACAGGCCCACCAAACAUCUGGAAUAAGAACAGGCCCACCAAACAUCUGGAAUAAGAACAGGCUCACCAAACAUCUGGAAUAAGAACAGCUUUAUGAAACAUCUGGAAUAAGAGCAGGCUCACCAAACAUCUGGAAUAAGAACAGGCGCACCAAACAUCUGGAAUAAGAACAGGCUCACCAAACAUCUGGAAUAAGAACAGCUUUAUGAAACAUCUGGAAUAAGAGCAGGCUCACCAAACAUCUGGAAUAAGAACAGCUUUAUGAAACAUCUGGAAUAAGAGCAGGCUCACCAAACAUCUGGAAUAAGAACAGGCUCACCAAACAUCUGGAAUAAGAACAGCUUUAUGAAACAUCUGGAAUAAGAGCAGGCUCACCAAACAUCUGGAAUAAGAACAG